RNAcentral lists this ribosomal RNA (877 nucleotides) under Escherichia coli. RNAcentral describes it as "partial 23S ribosomal RNA". It matches the Rfam family "Bacterial large subunit ribosomal RNA", at positions 313 to 1194 of the family's 2925-position model. Lineage: Bacteria; Pseudomonadati; Pseudomonadota; Gammaproteobacteria; Enterobacterales; Enterobacteriaceae. The record is from RNAcentral.
UGAAUCAGUAUGUGUGUUAGUGGAAGCGUCUGGAAAGGCGCGCGAUACAGGGUGACAGCCCCGUACACAAAAAUGCACAUGCUGUGAGCUCGAUGAGUAGGGCGGGACACGUGGUAUCCUGUCUGAAUAUGGGGGGACCAUCCUCCAAGGCUAAAUACUCCUGACUGACCGAUAGUGAACCAGUACCGUGAGGGAAAGGCGAAAAGAACCCCGGCGAGGGGAGUGAAAAAGAACCUGAAACCGUGUACGUACAAGCAGUGGGAGCACGCUUAGGCGUGUGACUGCGUACCUUUUGUAUAAUGGGUCAGCGACUUAUAUUCUGUAGCAAGGUUAACCGAAUAGGGGAGCCGAAGGGAAACCGAGUCUUAACUGGGCGUUAAGUUGCAGGGUAUAGACCCGAAACCCGGUGAUCUAGCCAUGGGCAGGUUGAAGGUUGGGUAACACUAACUGGAGGACCGAACCGACUAAUGUUGAAAAAUUAGCGGAUGACUUGUGGCUGGGGGUGAAAGGCCAAUCAAACCGGGAGAUAGCUGGUUCUCCCCGAAAGCUAUUUAGGUAGCGCCUCGUGAAUUCAUCUCCGGGGGUAGAGCACUGUUUCGGCAAGGGGGUCAUCCCGACUUACCAACCCGAUGCAAACUGCGAAUACCGGAGAAUGUUAUCACGGGAGACACACGGCGGGUGCUAACGUCCGUCGUGAAGAGGGAAACAACCCAGACCGCCAGCUAAGGUCCCAAAGUCAUGGUUAAGUGGGAAACGAUGUGGGAAGGCCCAGACAGCCAGGAUGUUGGCUUAGAAGCAGCCAUCAUUUAAAGAAAGCGUAAUAGCUCACUGGUCGAGUCGGCCUGCGCGGAAGAUGUAACGGGGCUAAACCAUGCAC